AUUAGAUACCCCAAUAGUCAAAGCAGAAAAUGAUGAAUGUCAUAGAUUAGAUAUACAAUUUAUUCUAUAAAUGAAAGUGUAAGCAUUCCACCUCAAGAGUAAUUUGGCAACAUUGGAACUGAAAUCAUUAGACCGUUUCUGAAACCAGUAGUGAAGUAUGUUGUUUAAUUUGAUGAUACGCAAAAAACCUUACCACAAUUUGAAUAUUUAUAUAAAUCUUUUAUUGGUUUUUACUAACAUAUAUGUAAACAAUUAAAAUGAUGCUUAAAUCUCGUUUGCGAGAUUAAGCAUCAGAAAAGAUAAUAUAUUUACAAGCGUUGCACGGCUGUCUUCAGUUAAUGUCGUGAGAUUUUGGUUAGUUCCAUUAAAUUAACGUAAACCCUUACUUUAUUUUUAUAUAAAGUAGUUCUCCGCUAUAUUGGAUAUGAUAACAGGGACUAAGACAAG
Molecule: ribosomal RNA, 447 nt
Filed under: Cladonia stellaris
Lineage: Eukaryota; Fungi; Ascomycota; Lecanoromycetes; Lecanorales; Cladoniaceae
Description: SSU rRNA
Rfam family: Bacterial small subunit ribosomal RNA
Source: RNAcentral